UGGGGAAUAUUGGACAAUGGGCGCAAGCCUGAUCCAGCAAUGCCGCGUGGGUGAAGAAGGUCUUCGGAUUGUAAAGCCCUUUCGGCGGGGACGAUGAUGACGGUACCCGCAGAAGAAGCCCCGGCUAACUUCGUGCCAGCAGCCGCGGUAAUACGAAGGGGGCUAGCGUUGCUCGGAAUUACUGGGCGUAAAGGGCGCGUAGGCGGCGCUGCAAGUCAGGCGUGAAAUUCCUGGGCUUAACCUGGGGGCUGCGCUUGAGACUGUGGUGCUAGAGGACGGAAGAGGGUCGUGGAAUUCCCAGUGUAGAGGUGAAAUUCGUAGAUAUUGGGAAGAACACCGGUGGCGAAGGCGGCGACCUGGUCCGUUACUGACGCUGAGGCGCGAAAGCGUGGGGAGCAAACAGG
RNAcentral lists this ribosomal RNA (404 nucleotides) under Bacillota bacterium. RNAcentral's name for it is "Firmicutes bacterium partial 16S ribosomal RNA". It matches the Rfam family "Bacterial small subunit ribosomal RNA", at positions 355 to 776 of the family's 1533-position model. The record is from RNAcentral. Lineage: Bacteria; Bacillati; Bacillota.